UAAAGAGUUAAAAUAUUAAGUAGUAAAAGAAGGCUUGAAACUUAAAAAUUUGGCGGUGUUUCAAUCUAAUUAGAGGAACUUGUUUAUGUUGAUCGAAAUUACACGGCUAAUCUUACUUAAAUUAUGUUUGUAUAUCAUCGUAAAAAUAAUAAUAAAAGUUAAUUAUUAAGAAAAAUAUGAUUUUUUAUGGCAGAUCAAGAUACAGCUAAUAUUUAAGGGAUAAAUGAGUUACAAUAAAUAAAUUUAUAGACGGAAUAAUUUUUAUUAAUAGUUAAGAAGGUGGAUUUAAAAGUAUUUUAAAAAUAAAAAGUUUAAAAGAAUAAGCUCUGAAAUAUGC
Molecule: ribosomal RNA, 337 nt
Filed under: Isometrus maculatus
Lineage: Eukaryota; Metazoa; Arthropoda; Arachnida; Scorpiones; Buthidae
Description: partial 12S ribosomal RNA
Source: RNAcentral